This is a non-coding RNA of 138 nucleotides. It matches the Rfam family "FMN riboswitch aptamer (RFN element)". From Rfam's summary of the family: The RFN element is a highly conserved domain that is found frequently in the 5'-untranslated regions of prokaryotic mRNAs that encode for flavin mononucleotide (FMN) biosynthesis and transport proteins. This element is a metabolite-dependent riboswitch that directly binds FMN in the absence of proteins.
AACUAUCUUCGGGGCAGGGUGUAAUUCCCGACCGGCGGUGAAGGAUAUGCAAUUCCUCAAGCCCGCGAGCCUGUUUUUUGGGCAGGAUCUGGUGUGAUUCCAGAGCCGACAGUAUAGUCUGGAUGGGAGAAGAUGGUG